CUUGCUAUCUCAGGGGCUCCAGUGUGUGGGCAUGAUGCUAGAUGCAUAACAUAGAGCAUUGUUUAUCCUCAAGCAAAUCUGUAAAGCAGAGAGGAGCAUCCUAUUGUACAGAAGGAAAAACUAAGUCUCGGAGAAGAUAGUGCCUGAGAUUCCACUUCUAGCAAAUAAAAAGGCCUAGAUUCAGAUCUGGGUCUACCUGCCUGAUCACAAAGCCCUGCUCUUUCUAAUACCUGUUGUCUCAGACUGUAUGCCAGGAUUUGCUUAGAAAUGCAGGUGUUGUCAAUCACAGUGAGUAUGCACCUUAUUGCAGGCUUCCUGGACCUUCCCCCAGGCGUGUAAUAAAAAUGGAAGGUGAAAGAAGUAGAGUAUUUUGUCACAGGACAAAUCACUGUGGGAAAUACUGGAAGCUACAAACUUACUUUUGGAACAGGAACAAGACUAUUGGUAAAUGCAAGUAAGUUCCAUAAAAUAACCUGAUUCGUGUUACAAUUGAGGGACAUCUGUUUGCAUUGUUUUGUUUUGUUUUUUGAGGAGAGGGAGGCAUCACUUUGCUGCUUAAAUAAGAAGAUAAGCGGACAAUAACAAUGUUGUGUGUUAAAUGGUAUCCAUUAGCAUCAUUCCUGCAAGAAACAUAACAAACCUUUAGUAAAUAUGCAUGGAUAAAACUCCCCU
RNAcentral lists this long non-coding RNA (672 nucleotides) under Fukomys damarensis (Damara mole-rat). Its description in RNAcentral is "lncRNA (ENSFDAG00000025645.1)". Lineage: Eukaryota; Metazoa; Chordata; Mammalia; Rodentia; Bathyergidae. The record is from RNAcentral.